UACCAGCACUUGAGACUAGAGACCGCCCUUAGCUACGUAUGCGCGCGUCCACGCGAAUGGCUGGAAAUGCUGCGGCUGAGAGCUAAAGUGUGCGAGACCAGCGACGCGUGAUUACUUUUACCAACCAUUAAAAUAUUCCGCGGAUUCGACAUUUCCAUUGCAGGACAGCUCAUCGUGAUCGGAUUAAGAUGGUGUCAAGAGUUUAAAGGAAUGUGACGGAGCACAAAACCGAUAACGGUAUUUCGGGCUGACCCUGACAUCCUGUUGUUUCUCUAUUGUUAUGCUCCAAAGUUCAGCUUGUUUGGAUGAUUCGUUUCCCGGGUCUACAACCCUUCAUUGUCAAGAGGCAGUGCUACAACCUGUCAGGAGGAGAAG
Clupea harengus (Atlantic herring) is the source of this 375-nucleotide long non-coding RNA. NCBI's taxonomy places the organism in Eukaryota, Metazoa, Chordata, Actinopteri, Clupeiformes, Clupeidae. The record is from Ensembl.